RNAcentral lists this long non-coding RNA (390 nucleotides) under Nicotiana benthamiana. Its description in RNAcentral is "long non-coding RNA (NBEN_LNC026401)". The record is from RNAcentral. Lineage: Eukaryota; Viridiplantae; Streptophyta; Magnoliopsida; Solanales; Solanaceae.
ACAGUCCUAAAAUAACCAAAUAUUUUGCUGGGUAAGUUUCAAACUCAUACAAGAGGCAUAGUGAUCAGUGUCUGGGAGAGAGGCUCGGCAAAAUAGACAUAAGGAUGAAGCUACUUUUGUGACAUUAACUUUAUCAACGAGAAGUACAAAGCGAAAGAUCAACAAAAUGGAGACAUUACAUAGUCAAGUGACUCCACAAUGUACAUGAGACCAUAAAAAAUUGUUUAUAUAUGGUUGCUGCAAUAGGAAUUUGUUGAUGGGAGUAAUAAUAUUUGGGGUCAUUUAUUAGCAGUGUAAACAAAAGGGGUUGACGGGGGUUUUUGGCAGUGAAAAAAUGUUAUCAUCAUCACUAUGAGUGAGCUCAUAUUGGCAGGAGGAGCUUGAUUAUAU